CGGCCGGACAAGUCCGUUGGGAAAUCCACGUGCCUAACGCGUGGGCGUCCAGCGGAAACUGUCCGGCUUGGGGCCGGAAGACCCGAGGGGUACGUCCGGGGUAGGAGUGAAAUCCCGUAAUCCUGGACGGACCGCCGGUGGCGAAAGCGCCUCGGGAGGACGGACCCGACGGUGAGGGACGAAAGCCAGGGUCUCGAACCGGAUUAGAUACCCGGGUAGUCCUGGCCGUAAACGAUGUCCGCUAGGUGUGGCGCAGGCUACGAGCCUGCGCUGUGCCGUAGGGAAGCCGUGAAGCGGACCGCCUGGGAA
RNAcentral lists this ribosomal RNA (309 nucleotides) under uncultured archaeon. Its description in RNAcentral is "bacterial SSU rRNA". It matches the Rfam family "Archaeal small subunit ribosomal RNA", at positions 526 to 834 of the family's 1478-position model. The record is from RNAcentral.